RNAcentral lists this ribosomal RNA (253 nucleotides) under uncultured bacterium. RNAcentral's name for it is "partial 16S ribosomal RNA". It matches the Rfam family "Bacterial small subunit ribosomal RNA", at positions 524 to 776 of the family's 1533-position model. The record is from RNAcentral.
UACGAAGGACCCGAGCGUUAUCCGGAUUUAUUGGGUUUAAAGGGUGCGUAGGUGGGCAGGUAAGUCAGUGGUGAAAUCUUCAAGCUUAACUUGGAAACUGCCAUUGAUACUAUUUGUCUUGAAUUAUCUGGAGGUAAGCGGAAUAUGUCAUGUAGCGGUGAAAUGCUUAGAUAUGACAUAGAACACCCAUUGCGAAGGCAGCUUACUACGGAUAUAUUGACACUGAGGCACGAAAGCGUGGGGAUCAAACAGG